AUCCAAUCGAUGAGCCCCAAAUAGGACGAGACAUAUGUCCUGGAU
Molecule: non-coding RNA, 45 nt
Filed under: Schistosoma margrebowiei
Lineage: Eukaryota; Metazoa; Platyhelminthes; Trematoda; Strigeidida; Schistosomatidae
Source: RNAcentral